Molecule: ribosomal RNA, 465 nt
Filed under: Vreelandella stevensii
Lineage: Bacteria; Pseudomonadati; Pseudomonadota; Gammaproteobacteria; Oceanospirillales; Halomonadaceae
Description: partial 16S ribosomal RNA
Rfam family: Bacterial small subunit ribosomal RNA
Source: RNAcentral
CCUACGGGCGGCAGCAGUGGGGAAUAUUGGACAAUGGGCGAAAGCCUGAUCCAGCCAUGCCGCGUGUGUGAAGAAGGCCUUCGGGUUGUAAAGCACUUUCAGUGGGGAAGAAAGCCUUGGGGCUAAUACCCUCGAGGAAGGACAUCACCCACAGAAGAAGCACCGGCUAACUCCGUGCCAGCAGCCGCGGUAAUACGGAGGGUGCGAGCGUUAAUCGGAAUUACUGGGCGUAAAGCGCGCGUAGGCGGUCUGAUAAGCCGGUUGUGAAAGCCCCGGGCUCAACCUGGGAACGGCAUCCGGAACUAUCAGGCUAGAGUGCAGGAGAGGAAGGUAGAAUUCCCGGUGUAGCGGUGAAAUGCGUAGAGAUCGGGAGGAAUACCAGUGGCGAAGGCGGCCUUCUGGACUGACACUGACGCUGAGGUGCGAAAGCGUGGGUAGCAAACAGGAUUAGAUACCCUAGUAGUC